Long non-coding RNA from Schistocerca americana (American grasshopper), 489 nucleotides. RefSeq lists it as uncharacterized. The record is from RefSeq and is a predicted model, not a curated record. The transcript has 3 exons. NCBI's taxonomy places the organism in Eukaryota, Metazoa, Arthropoda, Insecta, Orthoptera, Acrididae.
UGGAACGCAAGUUCAUUACUACGGUGAAAUAUGUCAGACCAUAAUUAACCUUCAACAAAUAUGAAUUCGCCAAUUGCUGAGCAAAAUUAUGUGGUUCCGAAGGUGGGAGGACGCUCAUUUUGACGUUAUGGAGAAAGAAGGACUUUUAUUUGUCCUGUUACAUUUCCAGCAAAUCACCAGUCAACUGAUUUGCUAUUCAGCUAUUCCGCAGCAUGAGAAGUAUACCGACGUGUAGCUGCCAUACGAGUAAAGGCAGAAAGGCGUCUACGUCAGAUUACCAGAGAAAGUAAAAAGACGUCCUUCGAAAAUGGGUAUGUGAAACUCUGAAGAUGUCUUCCCAGCUACGUAUUGAGUUUUCACAAGCUGUAUCCGUAAUGUUCAAACACAGUCGAUUUGUCAAGGACGGAAACAUUCAAUAGUUGAUGAGAUGACACAGUACCAGACGAAGUGAGAAAUAGAAUUGCCGUGAAGGACGUUAUUGUCAGGAAA